This 496-nucleotide ribosomal RNA is filed under the name uncultured bacterium. RNAcentral's name for it is "partial 16S ribosomal RNA". It matches the Rfam family "Bacterial small subunit ribosomal RNA", at positions 29 to 507 of the family's 1533-position model. The record is from RNAcentral.
AUGCACGCUGGCGGCGUGCCUAAUACAUGCAAGUCGAGCGAACAGAUGAGGAGCUUGCUCCUCUGACGUUAGCGGCGGACGGGUGAGUAACACGUGGAUAACCUACCUAUAAGCCUGGGAUAACUUCGGGAAACCGGAGCUAAUACCGGAUAAUAUAUUGAACCGCAUGGUUCAAUAGUGAAAGACGGUUUUGCUGUCACUUAUAGAUGGAUCCGCGCCGCAUUAGCUAGUUGGUAAGGUAACGGCUUACCAAGGCAACGAUGCGUAGCCGACCUGAGAGGGUGAUCGGCCACACUGGAACUGAGGCACGGUCCAGACUCCUACGGGAGGCAGCAGUAGGGAAUCUUCCGCAAUGGGCGAAAGCCUGACGGAGCAACGCCGCGUGAGUGAUGAAGGUCUUCGGAUCGUAAAACUCUGUUAUUAGGGAAGAACAAAUGUGUAAGUAACUAUGCACGUCUUGACGGUACCUAAUCAGAAAGCCACGGCUAACUACGUG